GCCCCUUCGUGCUACGGACAUGCCACUGAAGGCAUCACGUAGACCCACAUCCUUCCGUGCAGAACGGGUCACACUAGAAGCCUCGGCGCGUCCGAGGGAUGCCAACAGCUACCCAUCUCGGCACUGCGAGGCCAGGCCGGCACCUCAACAGAGCACACUUUUCCGAGGGACAAGGCGACAGGAGAGACGUUGUUGGUUGCGUCAAACACGGCCGCACCUUGGCAUCAACCAUGAUGAACCGCCCAUGGUGCACUUCCGGAUGAUUGGGAACUUGCCCCUUCGUGCUAAGGAUAUGCCCGUGAAGGCUUCACCUAGCGCCACAACCUUCCGUGCGGAACGGGUCACACUAGAUGCCUCGGCACGUCCGAGGGAUGACCGCAACUACCCACUGUGAUGCCAGACCGGCACCUCGACCAAAGGGACGAAGGCAUCAAGAUUUUUGACUUGGACCUUGAGGAACAAGCAAAGAACUUGCUGCACGCCAAAUGUGUCAUGGUGCCGGAUAAGCUCACUACGAGAUGCCCACAUUUUUCCGUUGGACCAGCCAGAACCGGGACACGUACGACCUGGAUUCGGCAUGGACUAUUUUUGACUCGGUCGAAUUUCCCACAUCGCCAUGGAAAAACGCACCAGCAUGCUUGGGAAAGCUUGCUGGGGCG
Molecule: non-coding RNA, 659 nt
Organism: Lupinus albus (white lupine)
Lineage: Eukaryota; Viridiplantae; Streptophyta; Magnoliopsida; Fabales; Fabaceae
Source: the annotation of a GenBank genome assembly